GUACCCAACAAGGAAGUGACGGCUAACUACGUGCCAGCAGCCGCGGUAAAACGUAGGUCACAAGCGUUGUCCGGAAUUACUGGGUGUAAAGGGAGCGCAGGCGGGAAGACAAGUUGGAAGUGAAAUCUAUGGGCUCAACCCAUAAACUGCUUUCAAAACUGUUUUUCUUGAGUAGUGCAGAGGUAGGCGGAAUUCCCGGUGUAGCGGUGGAAUGCGUAGAUAUCGGGAGGAACACCAGUGGCGAAGGCGGCCUACUGGGCACCAACUGACGCUGAGGCUCGAAAGUGUGGGUAGCAAACAGGAUUAGAUACCCUGGUAGUCCACACCGUAAACGAUGAUUAUUAGGUGUUGGAGGAUUGACCCCUUCAGUGCCGCAGUUAACACAAUAAGUCAUCCACCUGGGGA
This 405-nucleotide ribosomal RNA is filed under the name uncultured bacterium. RNAcentral's name for it is "bacterial SSU rRNA". It matches the Rfam family "Bacterial small subunit ribosomal RNA", at positions 475 to 879 of the family's 1533-position model. The record is from RNAcentral.